Molecule: ribosomal RNA, 253 nt
Filed under: uncultured bacterium
Lineage: Bacteria
Description: partial 16S ribosomal RNA
Rfam family: Bacterial small subunit ribosomal RNA
Source: RNAcentral
UACGGGGGGGGCAAGCGUUGUUCGGAAUUACUGGGCGUAAAGGGCUCGUAGGCGGCCAACUAAGUCCGACGUGAAAUCCCAAGGCUUAACCUUGGAACUGCGUCGGAUACUGGAUGGCUUGAAUUCGGGAGAGGGAUGUGGAAUUCCAGGUGUAGCGGUGAAAUGCGUAGAUAUCUGGAGGAACACCGGUGGCGAAGGCGGCAUCCUGGACCGGUAUUGACGCUGAGGCGCGAAAGCUAGGGGAGCAAACGGG